This is a long non-coding RNA of Xiphophorus maculatus (southern platyfish), 1569 nucleotides long. RefSeq lists it as uncharacterized. The transcript is spliced from 4 exons. The record is from RefSeq and is a predicted model, not a curated record. Lineage: Eukaryota; Metazoa; Chordata; Actinopteri; Cyprinodontiformes; Poeciliidae.
ACCAGAACCAGAACCAGAACCUGGACUUUAAUCAGGAACUGCACAGAUUCUCUGUGGGGUCAAACUCAGUAAACUGAAGAUCAGAUGUUGAUCAGAUGAUGACAUCACUGUUAUCAUAUUUUAGUCUGUUUAUGAUCCAGAUUGAUUUCAUUAGAACUGAAUUUAUUUCUUCUCUAAUCACAGACUUGGUGGCUGUUCGCUUGAUAAGGAUGAUUGUGAAGUUUUGGCCUCGGCUCUGAAGUCCAACCCAGAUCUGACUGAACUGGAAAUAAAUCAGAUCAACAUAAAUGGAGGUGGAGACUCUGAUCUGAAGCAUCUGGUUGAGAUCCUGGAGAGUUCAGUCAGUAAAGUGAAGAAUCUGAGAUUGAAGGGCUGCAGUUUGUCAGAGACCAGCUGGACUUCUCUGUUCUCAGCUCUGAAGUCCAAACCGACCCAUCUGACAGAACUGGACCUGAGCGGAACCAACCUGGAAGAUUCUGGAGUGAAGGAGCUCUGUGGUUUUCUACAGACUGAAGGCUGCAGACUGGAGACAUUGAAAUUGAUCAGCUGCAGUUUUUCAAAGAUCAGCUGUGAUUAUUUGGCCUCAACUCUGAAGUCCAACCCGACCCGUCUGACAGAACUGUACCUGAGAGGAAACAACCUGAAGGAUUCAGAUGUUCAGCAGCUGAAGAAUCUUGUAAAGACUUUAGGGUUCAGAUCUCUGUGAAGUAGAAAAUGGUCUCAGUGUCCUGCUGAUCCUCAGAGGUUGAAGCUGCAGCAGUUUGAGUCUAAAGAGACUCUGACUGGAUCAUGAUGAUGACCUCUGACCUCCAAGGUUUUCCUCCCGUUUAUUUCCUCAUGUCUGUCAUUUAGUGUCUGAUAUUGUUUGUCUCUUUGGAUCAAUAAAGAUCCAAUUCAAACUGGGCUCCAUUUAGAGGCUUCAUGGAGUUUUGAUCUGAACUGGAUUCAACUGGAAAGUUGAUCUUUUUUCUCUCUGAUUCAUUUUCAUCCUGGAACCAGAAAUGGUCUGAGAAUGGAAACAUGGGAAUCAUUUUCAGUUCAGCUUUGAAGCCAUGAAAGACACUUCAAACCUCUUUUCUCUGCUGCUUCUUCCUUCUGCUGACAUGAAAAUGUUCCUCAAAGCUCCACAGAUAAAAAGAUGCUUUACUGGAAACUGCAGAGAAACUUCAGCUUCCAUCAGAGAAACCAGUUUAACCAGUUUAGAACUGGAUGUCCUACAGAAACUCUGAUCUUAGAGCAGUUUUCAGGAACAUGUGGAACCUGGAAAAAAAAAAGAUUUUAUAUAUUUUAUGUUCAUUGUAAAAGCUAAAUCUUGAAGUUUUACGUCAUCAUUGAUUCUCAGCUUUAAUUUCUCUCAGUUUGUUUUGGUUUUUACUUUUUUAACUCCAUAUUUCAUGUUUUGAGUUUUCUAGAGAACUUCAGGCUCUUUACUGUGAUUUUACUGAUUUAUUCAAACCUCAGAGAAUCACUGGGAUAAUGUGCUGAUUGGUUCAUGUUUGAUUUUCAUCAUUCUUCUAAUGCAAUGUGGGUUGCUGGAUGUUUAACGACCAAAUAAAGUUUUUAAAAAAU